UUUCCGUAGGUGAACCUGCGGAAGGAUCAUUAGUGAAUUGAAUAUGUAGCGGACCUCUUCGGAGUCCCUAGCGUCAAAUCAUAUCCAUAACACCUGUGAACUGUAAGGCUGUCUUGAAAACGAAAGUGAUUAGAGCGCCUGCCCAUUUUAUACAAACAUUAAAGUAACAAACGUAGUCCUAUUAUAAUCUAAUAAAACUUUCAACAACGGAUCUCUUGGCUCUC
RNAcentral lists this unclassified non-coding RNA (224 nucleotides) under plant metagenome. RNAcentral's name for it is "partial contains small subunit ribosomal RNA, internal transcribed spacer 1, and 5.8S ribosomal RNA". The record is from RNAcentral.